This 221-nucleotide ribosomal RNA is filed under the name uncultured bacterium. RNAcentral describes it as "partial 16S ribosomal RNA". It matches the Rfam family "Bacterial small subunit ribosomal RNA", at positions 15 to 226 of the family's 1533-position model. The record is from RNAcentral.
GAUCAUGGCUCAGGAUGAACGCUAGCUACAGGCUUAACACAUGCAAGUCGAGGGGCAGCAUGGUCUUAGCUUGCUAAGACUGAUGGCGACCGGCGCACGGGUGAGUAACACGUAUCCAACCUGCCGUCUACUCUUGGACAGCCCUCUGAAAGGAAGAUUAAUACAAGAUGGCAUCAUGAGUCCGCAUGUUCACAUGAUUAAAGGUAUUCCGGGUAGACGAG